CGAGCAUGAUGAUGAUACCUUUAAAUCUGUCCGAUUAUUUUAUGAAUGGAUAAAUAACCUCCUACUCAUUCUGA
Small nucleolar RNA from Humulus lupulus (European hop), 74 nucleotides. RefSeq annotates it as small nucleolar RNA Z105. The record is from RefSeq and is a predicted model, not a curated record. Lineage: Eukaryota; Viridiplantae; Streptophyta; Magnoliopsida; Rosales; Cannabaceae. The transcript has a single exon.